GUAGACGUUAGCUCAGUGGUUAGAGCACAUGCCUCUGGCUCUCGGGUCCGCGAGUUCGAGUCCCGUCGUCUACU
Molecule: non-coding RNA, 74 nt
Organism: Trichomalopsis sarcophagae
Lineage: Eukaryota; Metazoa; Arthropoda; Insecta; Hymenoptera; Pteromalidae
Source: Rfam